Molecule: long non-coding RNA, 125 nt
Organism: Leopardus geoffroyi (Geoffroy's cat)
Lineage: Eukaryota; Metazoa; Chordata; Mammalia; Carnivora; Felidae
Exons: 3
Source: RefSeq, a predicted model, not a curated record
CAAUGUUACCUGUGAGGAUAAUGGAACAUGAAGAACAGAUCUAAAUAAUAGCACAAACUCACAGCUCUGUCCUCAUUUACUAACAGAUCACAUUCAUUUAUUUCUGUGCCUCCUGUCCUCCACAG